This 249-nucleotide ribosomal RNA is filed under the name Limosilactobacillus fermentum. Its description in RNAcentral is "Lactobacillus fermentum partial 16S ribosomal RNA". It matches the Rfam family "Bacterial small subunit ribosomal RNA", at positions 282 to 523 of the family's 1533-position model. Lineage: Bacteria; Bacillati; Bacillota; Bacilli; Lactobacillales; Lactobacillaceae. The record is from RNAcentral.
CAUACCCGAAUUGAGAGACUGAUCGGCCACAAUGGGACUGAGACACGGCCCAUACUCCUACGGGAGGCAGCAUUAGGGAAUCUUCCACAAUGGGCGCAAGCCUGAUGGAGCAACACCGCGUGAGUGAAGAAGGGUUUCGGCUCGUAAAGCUCUGUUGUUAAAGAAGAACACGUAUGAAAGUAACUGUUCAUACGUUGACGGUAUUUAACCAGAAAGUCACGGCUAACUACGUGCCAGCAGCCGCGGUAG